AGAGUUUGAUCAUGGCUCAGGAUGAACGCUAGCGACAGGCUUAACACAUGCAAGUCGAGGGGCAUCACGGGAGGUAGCAAUACCUUCUGGUGGCGACCGGCGCACGGGUGAGUAACACGUAUGCAACCUGCCCCGUACAGAGGGACAAGCGGUGGAAACGCCGUCUAAUCCCGCAUGCACUCUUCCGGGGGCAUCCCCGGGAGAGUAAAGGAGAGAUCCGGUACAGGAUGGACAUGCGGCGCAUUAGUUAGUUGGCGGGGUAACGGCCCACCAAGACGACGAUGCGUAGGGGUUCUGAGAGGAAGGUCCCCCACAUUGGAACUGAGCCAUGAUCAAACUCU
This 341-nucleotide ribosomal RNA is filed under the name uncultured bacterium. RNAcentral's name for it is "bacterial SSU rRNA". It matches the Rfam family "Bacterial small subunit ribosomal RNA", at positions 8 to 339 of the family's 1533-position model. The record is from RNAcentral.